Molecule: long non-coding RNA, 259 nt
Filed under: Elaeis guineensis (African oil palm)
Lineage: Eukaryota; Viridiplantae; Streptophyta; Magnoliopsida; Arecales; Arecaceae
Description: long non-coding RNA (EGUI_LNC073899)
Source: RNAcentral
UUGGUAGCUCCGACUGCGGCAGGGCUCUAGGUCGAUCUUUCCUUCCUUCAGGUCAGCGUCGAAUGGAUCUGUCGAGCCGACCUCAUCUGAUGAGCUCCUCGAUCUCAUCUUGGAGCUGAAUACACUCCUCCAUGUCGUGGCCAUGGUCAUGAUGAUAGAGGCAGAAUUUGUUUGGGUUGCGCUUCCCAGGGUGCGAGCGCAUCCUUUUCGGCCUUGGCAGCUGCUCCCUAACCUCCAUCAGCACUUGAGUUUUUGAUGC